GCCGGGCGUGGUGGUGCGUGCCUGUGGUCCCAGGUAUUCGGGAGGCUGAGGCUGGAGGAUCACUUGAGCCCAGGAGUUCUGGGCUGUAGUGCGCUAUGCCGAUCGGGCGUCCACACUAAGUUCGGCAUCAAUAUAAUGACCUCCUGGAGCCGGGGGCCACCAGGUUGCCUAAGGAGGGGUGAACCAGCCCAGGUCGGAAACGGAGCAGAUCAAAACUCCGGUGCUGAUCAGUGGUGGGAUCGCGUCUGUGAAUAGCCACUGCACUCCAGCCUGGGCAACAUAGCGAGACCCCGUCUCU
RNAcentral lists this signal recognition particle RNA (298 nucleotides) under Cebus imitator (Panamanian white-faced capuchin). RNAcentral's name for it is "Metazoan signal recognition particle RNA (ENSCCAG00000014212.1)". It matches the Rfam family "Metazoan signal recognition particle RNA". Rfam says of the family: The signal recognition particle (SRP) is a universally conserved ribonucleoprotein. Lineage: Eukaryota; Metazoa; Chordata; Mammalia; Primates; Cebidae. The record is from RNAcentral.